CUUUUCCUCCAACCCCGCCCCUCUCACCACAUGACUCACGUUCCAACGCCGCCAUUUUGUCAGGCCGACCGAUGGAAGACUUUUGCCCCUCAGGCUCGCAUCUCCCGUUUGCACCCGAUGUACAUGCCCAUGGAGCGUGCUAAGGAAGGAUGGCCGGGAGGGAGGAGUGGACUCGGAAAGGAGUGAGUGUGGGCGGCUUGUGGGGCUCUUUGAACCGCCACUGCCAUCACCACCGUCAUGUACCGUACCAGUAGAGGCCACUCGAGCGUGUCCUCCUCCAACCGAUCCAAAGAGAGCAGUAGCUUGGGUUCCCGCAGUUCUCGCUCCGGUGGCUCCGGUUCGACGCGAGGCCGUAGCCCGUGCCGCUCGCGCUCGCCCUCUUCUCGAGGCCGCCGCUACCGUUCGCCGUCCAGCAGCCGCUCUUCUCGCCGCUCGUCGUCCCCGCGCCGCAAUAGUAGGAGAUAUUCCCCGGGCCGGCGCUCAUGUUCCCCGGGCCGGCGCUCACGUUCCCCGGGCCGGCGCUCACGUUCCCCGGGCCGGCGCUCACGUUCCCCGGGCCGGCGCUCACGUUCCCCGGGCCGGCGCUCACGUUCCCCGGGCCGGCGCUCACGUUCCCCGGGCCGGCGCUCACGUCCCCCGGGCCGGCGCUCACGUUCCCCGGGCCGGCGCUCACGUUCCCCGGGCCGGCGCUCUCCAAGUCGACACUCUGAAUCUUCAGUGGAACAGAACUUACGUAUCACAGUUGGCAAUGACCGUUAUGGCAUUGAUACACCUGAGAGAAAGAGAUUAUCCGAUAGACUAGGAUCACCAGUUUAUAGUCUAAGUGAUGUGGACAGGGAUGAUUUGGCUGAUGGUCCAAUAUUUAGCAGGGGCCUUUCACGUCCUCGAAGCCUUGAGCGAUAUCCCUCUUGUGAGGAACAUACUUCUAGUCCUUUCAGUAUGAGACAUGAUGAGGACUAUCACAGUAGGGAUGUUUUCCUCCACCAAUCAGACUAUAGCGUGAACUAUGACUAUCUACAGGAUCUCCCAAAGGAAACUGAUAGGGAUGGUAUACUACUUAGGAAGUCCUCAUAUUCAUCAGAGGAUAGAGGGCGAGAUCCAAAACGUCCUCGAUAUGACAGAGAUGACAGACUGAUUGAUAUGAGCAUAGAGCCUCAGGGUUUCUUGCCAGGAACACGAAACUACCGUAAACGAAGUCCUAGUAGGAGCCCAAGUCCACCAUACCUGGAUUUCCGUGAGCUUGACAGUGCUAGGAGAAAAAGAGAAGAGGAGCUGAGCAGAAACUUGAAUCGAGAACUGCCUGGCCAUGGCUAUAUGAUCCCUGGCAUGACUAACCCACUGCAGUCUUCUGAACCUCGAUACCUUUAUAGACCGGAUGAAGCACCAGCAAUGCCCAAAAAGUCUAUCUUGAAGAAACGUGUGGAUGAUCCUUCUCUGCAGCCUGAAGUCUUUUCUAGCAGUUCUGCCUCUGUUAAAGAGCCUCCUCUUUCAGAUCAUCCUCCUUUACAGAAGCGUACCAACAUUGCUCCUUUUUCAUCUGAGGUAGAGAAUUUCCUCAAACAGUUCAAUAAAAAUGCAAUUGCAGAAUCUGCAAGUAAGGAGUCUCAAGGCAAUGUGCAUGAUUGGAAACUACAUUCAGGCCAACAACAAAACACUUCCCCUUUUGAGCAGAAUUUUGGGAGUUUUUUAAAACAGAAAGACUAUUAUGAGUCCACAUCAGAGCCUGAAGACCGACAUAAUGACUUCUUGCUUCCCCAUGAAAGAGCCAGCCAGGAUGGGAGUGGCUUUUCACGCAUUCUGGGUAUGAUGGCAGAUUCAACCAGUGCUCAAGAAAAGCGAAGGCGCAGUUUCCCUGACAUUGAGGAUGAAGAAAAGUUUCUUUAUGGUGAUGAUGAGGAUAACUCUACUGUUAAUUCCCCCUCUUCUCAAAAGCCAACACUGAGUGGUAGUAAACAACCUGAAAUUGUGAAAGAAAGUUCUCUACCUCCUGCUAGUCCAUCUGUAAAACCAGACACUUCAGAAGAGUCCAGACCAGAGUAUGAGAAAAUUCAUGACUUGCUCAAAACUAUUGGUCUUGACAUUGGAGUGGCUGAAAUUGGUAAGCUUGCUGCCCGCACUCAGGAACGACUCCAUGGGAAAAAACCAUCUCGUUCUCCUGAUCGUCAUUUGGUGGCUUCUCAUAAACUGGAAUCUAGAGAAAGGCAUCACAGUCGAAGUGACACUCAUUCUCCAGAAUCAAGGCAGAAUCGCUCUCUCUCACCCUCUGGUUCUUUCCCACCAUCUAAAGAGAUGUCUUCUGUUUCAAAUUCUGAGCACACUAAAAGCAAAAUUGUAGGACAAGACAGUUCUGCUGUCACACCAGAGCAAUCUGCUCCUUCACUAUCUUUAAUGCCAUCAGCUCCACCUCUUCCUAAUUUGUCUCCUACUUCCACCUCAGUUUCCCAGUACAGAGUUUCUCGCUUUUCACCAUUCACUGCAACUCAGCUGCCACAGAACUAUCCAUCUCCCACAAUGCCCCCUCCUGGCUAUGAUGCAUAUGGACACUAUAUGGCAUAUGCAGCUUCUGGCUGGCCCAUGUAUGCUCCUCCCCAGCAAGCUGACCCCACACUUUCAGAUGUACAUGGGCUUGUCACACUGACAGUGCCGCCAAAUCCUACACGACCCAAUCUCCGAGUUAUUGAGACAGUUUCCACGGGUAGAGGGACUCCUGAUAUAAAGAGAGAUGAAUCUGUGCUUGUGCAAAUCCCUACUGCUACACCUUACCCAAAAUGUGUUAAGGAAAGAAUAUCUGAUGAAAGAAAUCGGGCUUCUCAGAAGCAAAAGGUAAUAGAGGAAAGAGAGAAGUUGAGGGCUGAACAGGCAGCACGACAGAAGAAACUGCACUAUCUCAGGACUGAGUUAGAUAGACUUUCAAAACAGCAAGGAGAGAUGCUGCGGAAGAAGCGUAGGGAGAAGGAUGGGCACAAAGACCCCUUGCUAGUGGAAGUGAACCGACUGCAAGAGAACAUUGUGAAGGAAAUUGCUCAACUGAAGAUAAAUGCUGAAGCUGCAGAGAAGAAACAAUCUGAGCUUGACAAGGUAGCUCAGAUCCUAGGGAUUAACAUAUUUGAGAAAUCACGGAAACAAUCUUCAGAAAAUAAAGACACCUCAGAAAAAAACAAGUCAGAAAAUGCAAAAGGUCAGGAGGGAGCUUCCAACUCAAUCAAGGAAUUGAAAACUACUAAUGACAAGCCUGGAUGUAGGAGCCCCAAGCCUACAGAAUCAUCUUUACAGCCAUCCAAACAGCAUUCUCAGGAGGCCAAUAUUUAUGACUAUUAUGACACAGGGAACCAUUGGUGCAAAGACUGCAAUACCAUUUGUGGGACCAUGUUUGAUUUCUUCACACAUAUGCAUAAUAAGAAGCACAGACAGACCUUGGAUCCAUACAACAGACCUUGGGCAUCAAAGACUCAGACUGAAACAAAGCAAGAGCUCACAAAACGCAUUGACAGAAUACCAGUGCCUGCCAAAGGGUCUGAAUUUCUAAUGCCAGUCACUGGAUAUUACUGCCAGCUCUGCCAUGAAUUUUUUGGAGACCAGAUAUCAGCAGAACAACAUGUGAAGAAUAAUCCACAUAAUGAAAAAUAUAAGAAAUAUGUGGAUGAAAAUCCCCUCUAUGAAGAUAGAAGGAACCUCGACCGUCAGGCAGGAUUGUCUGUGAUUCAAGAAACAGAACGCAGGCUGAAACGAAAGCAGUGUGAAAAGCAAAAAGAGGAGAGAGAUGAAAAAACAGCAAAAGUGGCAAGGAAAGAAGAGCCUAAAAGUAAAGAGGAGCCAAAGAAUGCCAAAGAACUAGGAGAUGGAGAUAAUGAAAAUGAAACUAGUAAAAGGAAAGGCGUUCCGAAUGGCCAAAAAUAUGGGAUUAAACUUAAAUUGAAAAAAGAUGACAAAGAGGUUGAAAAGAAGGAAGGGAAAAAAGAGGAAUCCCAAAAGGAGUCAAGACUGUCAUCUUUUGGAAAGUUCAGCUGGAGGAAGACGGAGAGAGAUGAAAAAAAUCAAGGGAAAGAUACAACCGUCUUUAAGGGGGAGAGUGCUGAAGAAGGCAAAGAUAAAGAAAGCAAGUCGCAGUCUGGAAAACCAAAUUCAAAGCCCAUUGCAAUUAAGUUGUCUGGGAAAACUGUAAUUCCACAUUCUAACCCCUGGACACCAGUUGUUUCAACAUCAUCACAAGCAAAAAUAAGGCCCAACUUACCAGCUCCAAUGAUGGUUCUCAGGAAGUCUGCAACUGCAACAGUAAGCAAGCCUGCACCUUUAAAUACUUUCUUGUCUAUAAAAUCCUCUGGAGCCAUCACCAAGCCACUUCCUGUUGUAAAAGAGAGUAAUCACGAACUUGUUCUACCUCCAGAUAUUAUUUCAAAAGCUUUUGGGGGAGAAGUAGUAGUUUUAAAGGGCUCACAGGAGAAUGCAAAGGUGCAACCAGAAGAACGUGAACAUGAAAGUCUGUCACAGGCCAUAGAACAUGCAAAAGCUCUGGAACAUGCAAAGGCAACUGUAGCAAAGGCUCAGGAGCAAGCUGUAAAGACACAGGAGCAAGCAAAUGUUGUGGCAAAAGCACAAGCAAAAGCACGGGAACUUGCAGCUGUGAUAAAGGAGCAAGUUACAAGAUUGGGAAUUUUUGAGAGACCUCAUCGGCGGCGUCCUCUGCUUCCACUGCCACCAGGACCACCACUGUCAGUAGCACUACCAGUACCACCACCAGUGGUAUUUCCACCUCUACCCCUGAUGCCACCAAAACAAGCAGCCGUCCUGGCAGAUGACUUGGCUCCUGGUGUGUCUGAGGAUGAUAAAAACAUACUGGCAAUGCCCAUGUGUCCCCGUCCUUUACCACCUCCAACUAUUUUUGGAGACCAUGUAAAAAAACUAGAGAAAAAGAAUUCCUGUCUGGCUGCAGGUAAUGCUAAAGAUCUAUAUGACAUCUUCUACAACCGCAGUGGAAGGAGUCCAGCUGAUAGCAAAUCUGUGAAUUCUGCAAUUUCAGAUAAAAGAAAAUUAAAUCCUGUUGAGAGAGAGGAAAACACAGACCUGCUGGCAGGUUCCAAACCAAGCAGCAAGUCUUUUACACAAGAUUCUCUACAGAAUGUACACAGUUCUUCAUAUGAUAGCAAAAUCCCCUUAGGUGAUAUGACUCAGGAAACAGAGGAUGGUAAAGUUGAGAAAAUUUUGGCAGCCUAUGAAGAAAACUUUAAAAUGAAAGCUAGUUUUGAGGGAGAAUCAGAGAAGGUCUCUUUUUCAGAGAGACAGUCUACAUUCACAUAUAGAGAAGCAAAAGAAUCUGAUUAUACAAUAAAUGCCUCUGUUUCCUUUCAGAAUGAGGUAGAAAUGGGAACUCCUGAUCUAGCUGAAUUUAGCAAGAAAUCACCAGCCACACAGAUAUUUCAAGGGAGCCCUCGUUCUUUGGAUGACCUCAGCAGGAAACCCACAAACCUUGAGACAGCAGAGUUUAAAUCUCCUGCUAAUAAAGAAGUAGCAAUGCAGUUAUCAGAAGAUCAUGUUGCCCUUUUAGAAGAUGUUAGCAAGAAACCAUCUGAACUUCAGACACCAGAAUUAGCCAUUCAAUUGCCUGAAAACAAUGCUUCUUCUUUGGAGGAACUUUGCAAGAAUCCCUUGGUGUAUGAAGCAGCAGAGUUUAAAUCUCCUGAUGAUAAAGAAGUAGCAAUGCAGUUACCAGAAGACCAUGUUGCCCUUUUAGAAGAUGUUGGCAAGAAACCAUCUGAACUUCAGACACCAGAAUUAGCCAUUCAAUUGCCUGAAAACAAUGCUUCUUCUUUGGAGGAACUUUGCAAGAAUCCCUUGGUGUAUGAAGCAGCAGAGUUUAAAUCGCCUGAAGAUAAAGAAGUAGCAAUGCAGUUGUCAGAAGACCAUGCUGCUCUUUUAGAAGAUGUUAGCAAGAAACCAUCUGAACUUCAGACACCAGAAUUAGCCAUUCAAUUGCCUGAAAACAAUGCUUCUUCUUUGGAUGAACUUUGCAAGAAUCCACUGGUGUAUGAGGCAACAGAGUUUAAAUCUCCUGAUGGUAAAGAAUUAGCAGUGCAGUUGUCAGAAGACCAUGUUGCUCUUUUAGAAGAUGUUAGCAAGAAACCAUCUGAACUUCAGACACCAGAAUUAGCCAUUCAAUUGCCUGAAAACAAUGCUUCUUCUUUGGAUGAACUUUGCAAGAAUCCACUGGUGUAUGAGGCAACAGAGUUUAAAUCUCCUGAUGGUAAAGAAUUAGCAGUGCAGUUGUCAGAAGACCAUGUUGCUCUUUUAGAAGAUAUUAGUGAGAAGAAAUCAGAGCUGGUGACAACAGAAUUAGCCAUGCAGUUGCCAGAAAGCAGUGUUCCUCCUUUGGAUGGCCUCAGCAACAAACCUGCAGACCUUAAAACAACAGAGAUUAAAUCUCCAGUUUAUAAAGAAUUGACACUGAAAUUGUCAGAAGACCAUGUUGCUCUUUUAGAAAAUAUUAACAAAGCAUCUGAGCUUGAGGCAGCAGAAUUACCCAUGCAGUUGCCUGAAAGCAACGCUUCUCCUUUGGAAGAACUUUGCAAAAAUCCAUCGGUGUGUAAGGUAGCAGAGUUUAAAUCUUUUUAUGAUAAAAAAUUAGCAGUGCAGUUGUCAGAGGAACAUGUUGCUCUUUUACAAGAUGAUAGCAAAAAGCCAUCAGAGCUGGAGACAGCAGAAUUAGCUAUGCAGUUGCCAGAAACCAAUGUUCUUCCUUUGGAAAAACUUUGCAAUAAUCCAUCAAUGUGCGAGACAGCAGAGUUUAGAUCUCCUGAUGAUAAAGACUUAGCAAUGCAGUUGUCAGAAGAUGUUACCGUGAAGCCAUCGGAGCUGGAGACAACAGAAUUAGCCAUUCAGUUGUCAGAAAGCAGCGUUCCCUCUCUGGAUGACCUCAGCAACCAACCAAGAGACCUUGAGAUGGCAAAGUUUAAAUUUCAAGAUGACAAAGAAUUAGGGUUACAAAUGUCAGAAGACCAUGAGGCUCUUUCAGAUGUUAGCAAGAAACCAUCUAAACUUGAGACACUAGAAUUAGCCAUGCAGUUACCAGAAAGCAAUGCAUCUCCUUUAGAAGAACUUUACAGGAAUCCAUUGGCGUGUGAGAUAACAGUGUUUAAAUCUGAGGCUCUUUCAAAAUAUGUUUGUAAUAAGCCUUUGGAGCUUGAGACAGCAGAGUUUAAAUAUCCUGAUGAUAAAGAGCUAGUAAUGCAAUUGCCAGAAAAUGAGACUGACUUUACUGAGGAACCUGUACUAAUGAGAGAUGUUGGUAUGGCAACUGGUGAAGACAUCAGUGAGAAUUUACAAGACCAACAGAAAAUGGAUAAAUCCAAAUUAGACGAGUUUAAUAAAGAUUUGGAGAUGAAAGCAUAUUUGGCAAGUUUAAGUGAAAGAGAUGUAGGAAAAGAACAUUUAGAAUUUGCAGGACAUCAGUUUGCUGUUAAUCAGGAAGAUGAGUCUCAGUUGUUUGAAAUGCAAAUUGAAACCCCUAAGGAAGAAGGGCCUGCUAUAACAGAAGAUACGCAAGUUGCUGACAGCUCCAAACUGACAAUUUCUACUUGGGUUUCAGAGGUGUGUGUUCAGAGUCCACUGGUUUGGGGGCCAAUAGUCUCAUCUUCAGAUGUGAAGAAGGAAAAUUCUCAAAGAGCAAUGAUAGAUCGGAGUUCUUCUAAAGAACAAUUGUUGGAUCUAAAAUGGGGCACUGUGGGACUUGAUAGGCUUGAGUCAGCAAUCAGUGAUGAAAGUCCUCAGACUUCAGAGGUGCAUAAUGUAGAUUCAGAACUGAAGCCUUUGAAUAAAGACGAAUCGGCUGCUUUCUAUACAAAUAAUGAACAAGAAUUAUUGUUUAGUUCUAAACCAAAGGAUGGUAAGAAUAGCAAUGUAGUUGAUAUUCCAGAAGCAGGAGAGAUGUCAGAUGAAUGCCUUGCUAAUGUAACAGUUGCAAGCACUGCACAAAGGCAGUAUGAAAAAAUAAGUCAGCAUCCAUUAAGCAAGGAUUCCCAAGCUGAGGGAGAUGAAGCUCUGAGCGGUAUUUCUUCUACAAAUGAUACUGAACCUAGUGACAGUGUAGAAUUAAUGUUUAUAAAAAAUGACACAUGCAGGCCUUCUGAAUCUGGUCUGGACUUAAAGGACAGUGAAGAGAGAGGUUCUACAGAAACAGACACCUCUAACUUUUCCAGUGUUCAGCCAGAGAUGAUUCAUGAACCAUUAGAUGCUCUUCCAACAGAAAUCAGUGUUGAGCAUCUUGGAGAGGAAGCCCUUACCUUCACAGACAUGAACACCGGGGUCUUGAAUACCUCAGCAUCUGGUGACUUGGACUUAAACACAACUUACCCAGAACUUAACUUUGAUCAGACUACAACCCUUUCUCUGAAUUUAAAUGUAGAAAAUGAGAGAGAGUCUCCAAAGUCUGAUGAAAUAAAGCCUAAGGAUCCUCCUGGAUUGAAACGGGGCCUAGAAUUAGAAACCAUGACUUUUAGUCUAGGGGAUAUUGAAGUGGGACGUGAACAUCUGGGCAUCCUACCAUCUGAAAUUCUAAAUGAGGAUAUUGGAGGGAGCCCAAAGCUAGAAACUAUUGCAUCCAUUUGUUUAAAGUCCAGCAAAACUAGUGAAUUGGGCAUUGGGCAACCUGCAGUUGAAUCAGAAAUGAUGGAUUUUGUUGUGUUAACAUCUGGUGAUCAAGAAGAUAAACUUUGCUCCUUAGUUUCUGACGUAAUUGUCCCACGUGUAGUAUCUCCAGCAUCAAACGGUAGCACUGCAGGACCAAGCGUGCCACUCCUUGAAAUGCAGGACAUGCCUCCAAUUUCCAAAGUCUUGCAACCAGAUGUUCGCAAAGGUGGCACAUCUGAUACGCCAUCAUUGAGUUAUGAUGAAAAAAAUUUACAGAGCCAAGCAGCUGAAUGCAAGCAAUCCUUCCUUCCAGCACUAAAGAAAACAUCUGUAGAAAUGGGGGGCUCAGGCGACCAUGAAUUGUACAUUGUCAAAAAUGAUAUCCAGACAUCUGCAGGGGAGGUAACCAAGACAGAGGAAGUGGAAAAUAACGAUAGGAGAUGUGAGGUUAACAGUAAGUUGGCUUCAGAAAUAACUGAAAGCUCUGCAGAGCACCUGGUAAGUUCAGAUAAAAUUGAUCCUAAUGCUUGAGUAGCUAUUGUGUAGAUUUUGUAAAUAUUCUGUUUGAGUUUAACAUGAUAGAUAUUUUGCAGCUCACAGUAGAUACUUGCUGAAGCCUAAACUUUCUUUGCCCCCCCCUCCCCAGACUCCAUUGUACAUACUGGAUUGUAUAAAACAUUUUCUUGUUGGACAGACCAUUUCAUUUCUGCUUCCUGCCAUUAGAAUGGGAUUUCUCAUUUAUACUGGGCUAGUUUACACAGAAUGCUAAACUAAGGUUUGGCAUUAUGAAGAUGAGCACUCCCCUUCCCCUCUCUCAGUGUGGCUGUGCGACUAUUGGGAGUUAGAAUUAAUGUCAAUUUAGCGUUGUGUCUGAAUUGUAAACUGGUUAAUUCAGAGACUAUGGUUUGAUGUUGGCCUGUUUCCACUAACCAUAGUUAAACAAGACAAACUACAGUUUGUCUUAAAUUGAAGGAAAAGCUUCCAAACUUCAUGGCUGUGCUGGAGAAGGAGGAGGGUGAUAGCAAGUGAGCCCAAGACUAGCUACAGCUUUUCUUUGUAAUGUUUAGCAUUAUGUGUGAACACAGCAAAUGUGUAUGUGGUUUGGGCAGAGGUUGUUGCUAUUGGGACAUGUUUUUUUGUAUUUUUCUUUGACUUUUUUCAUGGUUUUUGAUUUACACAGCUUUUGUAAGUAACAUUCCAAGUGCAGCACUGACAAGCGCAAGGACAUCUGUUCAGAACUUGAGGAAAAAGAAGGCUCUUUCUGAAGCAUUUGAGUAGAAAGUGUAUUUAAAAUGUUAUGCAUGUUUUGUUGCACAAAAUGUAAAAUGCAUGAAGAUUGUUCUGCAUUUUUUCAAGAUGCAGAAGAUUGUCCUGCAUUUUUGACCUGUAAUUACUUGUUGAAUUGCAUCUGUAAUCUAGACUGUAAUGUCAUAUUACUCUUUAUGGAUACCAUCUCGCUGAACAAAGGAGAAAAUCUACCAACUUACUUUUGGAGAAGGAAACUAUUUGCAGCUGCCCAACUCAGAAGAAAUAGAAGAUUUGAACUUUGCUCUCAGGAUUGGAUUCACUUCACAUAUCCAGACAUUAGAUGCCUGAA
Molecule: RNA transcript, 10216 nt
Organism: Rhineura floridana
Lineage: Eukaryota; Metazoa; Chordata; Lepidosauria; Squamata; Rhineuridae
Gene name: zinc finger protein 318-like
Exons: 11
Source: RefSeq, a predicted model, not a curated record